UAAAACUACAACACAUACAAAAGCCCCUAUGAUCAUAACAAACACCCCAAAUACAGCUUUCGACACUGUUUUAAUCGAUACAAUUGAACCAUUACCACGAACAGAACAUGGUAUUGAGUAUGCGAUAACUAUAAUAUGCGACCUUACAAAAUAUCUAGUUACAAUUCCAGUAGCAGAUAAAAGCGCAAAAACAGUAGCCAAAGCGAUUUUGAAUCUUUUGUACUAAAGUACGGUCCUAUGAAGACGUUCAUAACAAACAUGGGUACUGAGUACAGAAAUUCACUUAUACAAGACCUGUGCAAAUAUAUGAAAAUCAGUAAUAUAGUUUCAACUGCACAUUAUCACCAGACCUUAGGAACAGUAGAAAGAAGUCAUCGAACAUUUAACGAAUAUAUUCGUUCAUACAUAUCGAUCGACAAAGAUGAUUGAUACAUAUGGAUAAAUUAUUUCACAUAUUGUUUCAAUACUACUCCAUCAACCGUACAUGAAUACUGUCCAUUUGAACUUGUUUAUGGUAGAUUACCGAGACAAUUCCUAGAAUUUAAUAACUUACAAAAAAUAGAUCCAAUAUAUAACAUAGAUGACUAUGCAAAAGAAUUUAAGUUUAGAUUACAAGUAGCACAUAAAAGAGCAAAAUUAAUGAUAGAAAAAGAAAAACAAAAACGAAAAUUAGAAUAUGAUAAAAAGUAAAUGACUUAAAGUUAGAAGUAGGAAAUCUAGUGUUACUUAAAAAUUAUACGGGUCAUAAAUUAGACAACCAAUACUUAGGACAUUACAAAGUAAUAAAAAUAGAAGAUAGAAACAAUAUAGUAGUAGAUGUGGGAAAAAAGAAGCCACAAACAGUUAAUAAGAAUAGACUAAAAUUAUUCAAAAAUUAACACAAUUACAAAUUAAAACAAAGUUAAAAAAAAAAAUAAUAAUAAUAAUAUAUAAUUUUCUUUUCUUACUUAAAAUCAAUUCAUUUACUCUAAAUUUAAAUACCUGUUAAUAACGUUUAUUACUACACAAAAAAAAAUAUAUAUAUAUAUCUAUUAAUAAUUAAUAUACUCCAUAUUACAUACAUUAAAAAUAACUUCAUAUUACAUAUAUACGUUAUUUUUCAAAAGGAGGGAGAUGUGGUAUGCACAUAUAGCGAGGUGGCACUGUAACCAAAAUAUCGCUGUAUGUCAACCGGUGUGCAUAUCACACACUCCUCCAUAUAUACAUAUAGAUAUAAAUAUAUAUGUAUACUAAAUGACAGUUACUUAUGAUAAGCUGUAAUAUGUAUGAAUAUAUUGAGAGAGUAACGAAUAUGAACAGUUAAGCAGCGAAGCUUUCGUUACAGUUACAUUCCGACUCGAGUGCAUGCAUAUGUAUAUGCACACAAGACUCUCGCUCACUCUCGCUAAUAUGCUUUGUCGCAUAUUCUUAGCAUAUGUAAUGUAAAGAGUAAUAAAUAGAUAUGCAGCCGCUUCGCUGCCGGCUUCGCCGCGUGCUUUUUCUUACAAUGUACUUAGGCUAAGAUCAUGCUAAGACUUUUGGAAUAAAUCAUUAUGAAAAGUAAAUCAAAAGGCACAGACGUGCCGGUGUUAUCAUUUGUCAAUUAUUCUCGACACGUGCCAACAGUUUGGUACAGUUGGGCACCAAUAAAAGAUAACAUAUCACAUGGCGACCGUGACAUAGUCCUGGAGGACUGGACGACGACCAAGCAGAAGAUUGAAAUUAUCAGCGAAGACUCAAAUCAUCGUCUCUGGAUUGGCAUUGAAAUCUGCAACAAAAAAAAAAUCGAAAGAGAA
This is a long non-coding RNA of Drosophila sulfurigaster albostrigata, 1775 nucleotides long. RefSeq lists it as uncharacterized. The record is from RefSeq and is a predicted model, not a curated record. The transcript is spliced from 2 exons. Lineage: Eukaryota; Metazoa; Arthropoda; Insecta; Diptera; Drosophilidae.